GAUGAACGCUGGCGGCGUGCUUAACACAUGCAAGUCGAACGGAAAGGCUCCUGCUUGCAGGGGUACUCGAGUGGCGAACGGGUGAGUAACACGUGGGUGAUCUGCCCUGCACUUCGGGAUAAGCCUGGGAAACUGGGUCUAAUACCGGAUAGGACGAUGGUUUGGAUGCCAUUGUGGAAAGUUUUUCGGUGUGGGAUGAGCUCGCGGCCUAUCAGCUUGUUGGUGGGGUAAUGGCCUACAAGGCGUCGACGGGUAGCCGGCCUGAGAGGGUGUACGGCCACAUUGGGACUGAGAUACGGCCCAGACUCCUACGGGAGGCAGCAGUGGGGAAUAUUGCACAAUGGGCGCAAGCCUGAUGCAGCGACGCCGCGUGGGGGAUGACGGCCUUCGGGUUGUAAACUCCUUUCGCUAGGGACGAAGCGUUUUGUGACGGUACCUGGAGAAGAAGCACCGGCUAACUACGUG
RNAcentral lists this ribosomal RNA (465 nucleotides) under uncultured bacterium. Its description in RNAcentral is "partial 16S ribosomal RNA". It matches the Rfam family "Bacterial small subunit ribosomal RNA", at positions 28 to 507 of the family's 1533-position model. The record is from RNAcentral.